UGCCUCUGAUGUCAUGGGCCAAUUCAAUAAAAUAGGAGGCAUUACUUCUGGAGCAGCAAUUAUACACUGUGCUCAGGCCAAUUGCCCAACAGAAGCAGAAAGUAACAAGCAGGGCUCUUGAGGGCUUUAGCCAUUAGUGUGUUCUUAAAGUCUUCCUGUUGAAAAUGCUACUUUCUGAUCAUAGCCCCUGUGUGAGUAUGCUCCCAGUAGUCCCCACAGCUCAAGAGAAAACAGAAUCAUAGUAUCAUAGAGUUGCUCGGGUUGGAAAAGACCUUCAAGAUCAACAGCUGUGAUCUCUGAUGUUUCUCACUUUGCGGGUAGGUGGAAGUGAUAUAAUAAGGCUGCAAUGUGCUCUUGGUGUUUCCCUCUAUACUAUAUAUACUCCUUUCACAAUUCCCCACAUGCUGUUAAACCAUAAUUCAUGAUGCAUGCUGGCUUGUUUCUGUACUGGUCUCAUGCCAGCAAGAAGCACUUCUUGGACACAUUAAACAUCCUUACUUGAUUAUACUCAUCCUGUCCUUUACAUAAUAAUAAUGUCUUCUGCCAUUAUGUCUUUGAAAUCUGGCCAAUAUUGGUGUCAAUAUUGGCAGUGAAGUCUUAAUGACCUGGGUAUUAAGGGCAAUCGGCAACAGCUUCUUCAUGACCAUUCCUGAUGCCUGUUGAUCAGACCAUCUAUCUUAUGCUUGGAAGUAUCAUACUGGCAGCAUCGUUCUGAUUCAAGUAGCAGAGACAUCAAUUUCUUUUUUAUCUUUUUCUUCUCUGAGCAAGUCCUUUGCUUGUGUCCCUUGGAAAAUGAGAAGCUCAGUGGUUUGCAACACAGAUGCUCUUCACUGGAGUCCCAGGCUUCAGCUGCUCUGCAGAGCUGUAACACUGCAGAAGUGAUGCUGACUUGGAACUUCCUUCCAUCUUACAGAUGCCAUUCCAUCAGUCUUCCCCAGUCGUUAUGUGUUUACCGUAUUAAUGGCUCUUAGCCUUCUGACAUGAUGUGUUCAUCCGUGGAUGGCAAACCUUUUAGAUAUUGGCAGCAAAUUUAGCUUAAAAAGCACCCCAACUCUCUAAUUACUGAUGGUGCCAAGACUAAUCUCUGUCAGUGUCAAUUUUGGCAACAGGGCCAAGGUCUUAUUUCUUUCCUAAUUUGAAUUUUAGAUCUGUUCUUUACCUUUCAAUCCAAUCUUGUCUAUUUAGUACUUUUCCCCUGAUAUUUAACUGCAUGCUGAGGAAUCCCAUUCUCUUCAUGGCUCUGAAUCAAGACAAGGAGAUUUAAUCGCUGUUGAAAUCCUAACCUUGCUGGGGUAGAUUUCUUCUUUUCAAGCUGAAUCAGAUGUUGUGGUGAACUUGAUCUCUGUUCCCUACUGAGAAGAAACACAUUUUGCAUUAGCUUACCUGCUGUCAUGAUGUGUGACUUCUGUGACCAUAUAAUGUGCAGAAAACUACAGACUUUCAGUAGAAUGAGACUGUAGACAACACAUGCCUGAGAAUUACUCGUAUCAUAGAUAAGUGACUUUUCUUCCUUAUUUUUCACUCUAUGCUACAGAGUUUUUCACUGUUAUUUCCUACCUAUGUUGCAAUAAUUGUGUGAGAAUUAAUUGGUAAAUGUUUGCAAAGUACUACAGACAUAAAACUGCUAGAUAAGUACUAACUAUUAUUUUAAUUUGAAUUAAUAACAAUAAUAGAACUAGAUUGAGAGUCUUUCCAUGACUAUAAUGCUCAUUUUCAGAUGCAGACCUUAAACUGACCUGCAUAUUUAGCAAGUUACAGCUACACAGUGUAGAUAAUUAAAAAUAAAUUACUAUCAAGGUUCUAAAAGUAAUUGAAAAUCAUGUUAAUAAAUUCAGAAGGGGAAGAAAAAAGAGCCCAGCGCAAGAAAAAACAAAAGAGCUCAGCGAGCCAGCCCAGGAAUUUCUGAAUAGAUGCAGAGCAUUGAAGGCUACAGGAUGUAGAACAAACCUGUAAAUCUCCAAACACCACUGGCAACUUGUAUUGCUUGCCUAAAGACCUGACCUCUUAAGAAAUGGAGCAUAAUCAAAUGUGGCCAGGUAUGUCUAGCAGGAAGCAAGAUGUAAUCACCCCUUGGGACAAAAUAGAGAGCAAAAUAUGAUGACAGCAGUCAGCAGGUAGAUCAGGUCAUGCUCUAUUUGAGUUAAGAGCUGUUGGAAGCUGAAAAAGGCCUUAACCGUGUUCUGUUUCACAGACUCAAAAGUGCUCACAUGGUUGAUUGUACCAACUCCCACAUGCUAAAGACGAAGCCAGUGGCUUAAUUCUACCCUUUCUAUAUCUCAAGAUAAGACCCUCCAUCCCGAAAGCCCAAAUUUUACCAUCUGGGCUUAAAACAGGUAUAGCUGAUGAAGUAUGGGUCAUAUAUGUGGACAGUGAGGUGGACUACCUGAACUGUCUGAACAGCCAGGCCCAGAGGAUUGCCAUCAGUGACACGAACACCUACUGAAUUCCAGUCUAUAGUGAUGUGUCCAAAGAGUUGAUACUAGUGUUCAGCAUCCUCAUUAAUGACCUGGGUGAUGGCACCGAGUGCACCCCUAGCAAAUUUGCAGAUGUCACAGAACUGAGGAGGAGUGAUUGAUACACUGGAGUGUUACACUACUUUCCAGAAGGACCUCAACAGGCUGAAGAAAUGGGCUGACAGGAGCCUCAUUAUCUUCGUAAUUUUCAUAAUGUUCAUAUGAAACUAAUGUUCAUAAUGUUCAUCAGGUUCCUCAUGAAACACCAGCUCCUACCCCUGGGAAGGAUCAAAGCCAGGUACCAGUACAGGCUUGGGGUCAGCUGGCUGCAAAACAGCUUUGCAAAAAAGGACUUUGGGAUCUUGGUCAGCAGCAAGCUGACCAUGAGCUAGCAGUAUGUCUUUAC
This 2859-nucleotide long non-coding RNA is filed under the name Gallus gallus (chicken). RNAcentral describes it as "lncRNA (ENSGALG00010004205.1)". The record is from RNAcentral. Lineage: Eukaryota; Metazoa; Chordata; Aves; Galliformes; Phasianidae.